CUCAGGCUGCGAACCCACACUC
RNAcentral lists this non-coding RNA (22 nucleotides) under Arabidopsis thaliana (thale cress). Lineage: Eukaryota; Viridiplantae; Streptophyta; Magnoliopsida; Brassicales; Brassicaceae. The record is from RNAcentral.